Molecule: ribosomal RNA, 407 nt
Filed under: uncultured bacterium
Lineage: Bacteria
Description: partial 16S ribosomal RNA
Rfam family: Bacterial small subunit ribosomal RNA
Source: RNAcentral
AUUGAACGCUGGCGGCAGGCCUAACACAUGCAAGUCGAGCGGCUCGGCGGACGGGUGAGUACUGCCUAGUAAUCUGCCUGGUCGUGGGGGAUAACGUCCGGUACCGGGCCCUAAUACCGCAUCCUCUCCGAUGAGCCUAGGUCGGAUUAGCUAGUUGGGGGGGUAAAGGCCUACCAAGGCGACGAUCCGUAACUGGUCGGAGAGGAUGAGCAGUCACACUGGAACGGAGACACGGUCCAGAAUCCUACGGGAGGCAGAAGUGGGGAAGAUUGGACAAUGGGCGAAAGCCUGAUCCAGCCAUGCCGCGGGUGUGAAGAAGGGCGUCGGAUUGGAAAGCACUUGAAGUUGGGAGGCGUUACCAACAGAAUAAGCACCGGCUAACUUCGUGCCAGCAGCCGCGGUAAUUC